UUUCUGCCAACCUGCCCCACCUCCUCUGCAGCUCAGUGAUAACCCCUGGGCAAGAGUGUUACCUAAUCAUCUCCUCCCUCCUGGCAGCUUUGAGCCUUCACCCUCUGCCUUUCUUUCUCCCAGCAGACGCCUGCCUGCCCUGGCAGCCAUGAGGCCCCCGUGGUGUCCCCUGCACACACCCUCCCUGGCUUCCCCGCUCCUUCUCCUCCUCUUCCUCCUGGGAGGAGGGGCAGAGGCUGAGGGCCCAGAGGACCCAGAGCUGCUGGUGACUGUGCGUGGGGGCCGGCUACGGGGCUUCCGCCUAAUGGCCCCUGGGGGCCCUGUCUCUGCUUUUCUGGGCAUCCCCUUCGCAGAGCCACCUGUGGGCCCCCGUCGCUUUCUGCCACCAGAGCCCAAGCGGCCCUGGCCAGGGGUGCUGAAUGCCACAGCCUUCCAAAGAGUCUGCUACCAAUAUGUAGACACCUUGUACCCCGGCUUUGAGGGCACCGAGAUGUGGAACCCCAACCGUGAGCUGAGCGAGGACUGCCUCUACCUCAAUGUGUGGACACCGUACCCCCGGCCUGCGUCCCCCACCCCUGUCCUCGUCUGGAUCUACGGGGGUGGCUUCUACAGCGGGGCCUCCUCCCUGGACGUGUAUGAUGGUCGCUUCCUGGCCCAGGCCGAGGGGACUGUGCUGGUGUCCAUGAACUACCGGGUGGGAGCCUUUGGCUUCUUGGCCCUGCCGGGGAGCCGGGAAGCCCCAGGCAAUGUGGGUCUACUGGAUCAGAGGCUGGCACUGCAGUGGGUGCAGGAGAACGUAGCAGCCUUCGGGGGGGAUCCAACGUCAGUGACUCUGUUUGGGGAAAGCGCAGGUGCCGCCUCCGUGGGCAUGCACCUGCUGUCCCCACCCAGCCGGGGCCUGUUCCACAGGGCCGUGCUGCAGAGCGGGGCACCCAAUGGGCCCUGGGCCACAGUGGGUGUGGGAGAGGCCCGCCGCAGGGCCACGCUGCUGGCCCGCCUCGUGGGCUGUCCGCCUGGUGGGGCUGGUGGCAAUGACACAGACCUGGUGGCCUGCCUGCGGACACGGCCGUCUCAGGAUCUGGUGGACCACGAGUGGCAUGUGCUGCCUCAGGAAAGCGUCUUCCGCUUCUCCUUCGUGCCUGUGGUGGAUGGAGACUUCCUCAGUGACACGCCUGAAGCCCUCAUCAAUGCUGGAGACUUCCAUGGCCUGCAGGUGCUGGUGGGUGUGGUGAAGGAUGAGGGAUCCUAUUUUCUGGUUUACGGGGCCCCAGGCUUCAGCAAAGACAACGAGUCUCUCAUCAGCCGGGCCCAGUUCCUGGCCGGGGUGCGGGUCGGGGUCCCCCAGGCAAGUGACCUGGCUGCCGAGGCUGUGGUCCUGCAUUACACAGACUGGCUGCACCCUGAGGACCCAGCACGCCUGAGGGAGGCCAUGAGUGAUGUGGUGGGCGACCACAACGUCGUGUGCCCCGUAGCCCAGCUGGCUGGGCGACUGGCCGCCCAAGGCGCUCGCGUCUAUGCCUACAUCUUUGAACACCGUGCAUCCACGCUCUCCUGGCCCCUCUGGAUGGGGGUGCCCCACGGCUACGAGAUCGAGUUUAUCUUCGGGCUCCCCCUGGAACCCUCGCUAAACUACACUGUCGAGGAGAGAACCUUUGCCCAACGACUGAUGAGAUACUGGGCCAACUUCGCCCGCACAGGGGACCCCAAUGACCCCCGAGAUCCCAAAGCCCCUCAGUGGCCACCAUACACGGCGGGAGCGCAGCAGUAUGUGAGCCUGAACCUGCGGCCACUAGAGGUGCGGCGGGGGCUGCGCGCCCAGGCCUGCGCCUUCUGGAACCGCUUCCUACCCAAAUUGCUCAGCGCCACCGGGCUGAACGUACAAAAACUUCUCAGAGCUGGAUGGGACGAGGCAGUCACAAGUAUAGAUGAUGACCAGGAGUGAGGAAACGUGUAUGACUCAAAAGAAAUCCACAUCAUCUGGAGCAUCCAGGUCACGGUAUUCCACAAUGGCCCGUGGGUCUCCACGGACCAUCCUGUGAGAUUAGAAAGAGGAUACAACAAGUUAAAGAGAACCAGGAGGGGCUUCCGUGGUGGUGCAGUGGUUAAGAAUCCGCCUGCCAAUGCAGGGGACACGGGUUCGAGUCCUGGUCCUGGAAGAUCCCACAUGCCUCAGAGCAACUAAGCCCGUGCGCCACAACUACUGAGUCUGCGCUCUACAGAGCUCGCAAGCCACAACUACUGAAGCCCGCAUGCCUAGAGCCCAUGCUCCACAACAAAAGAAGCCACCACAGUGAAUGAGAAGCCCACGCACCGCAACAAAGAGUAGUCCCCGCUCGCCGCAACUAGAGAAAGCCCGCGCACAGCGACAAAGACCCAACGCAGCCAAAAAUAAAUAAAUAAAUAAAACCAGGAGUCUUUGAACAGUCAAGGGAGAGAGAAUGGGGCAGACCCUCAUGGAUCGUAUCUUACUCUGGGCAGGGCCAGGUGGCUGAGCUGGCUUUAUCUCAGGCAGAGCUGGUCGCUUGGCAUCAGUGAGAAAGUUGUUAAAAAAUGCAACCUCCUUCUUUACUUCCUCAAUUUUCUCUGCAUGCUUGUUGAAGAUAUGUUUGCGUACAAACUCAGGGCCCUGGGUGAACAGAGGAGGGGGUGAGAACUGAGUCAGCAAUGAGGGUUCCCUAGCUCCCCAGACCCAACCUGCAAGGACACUCCACCUCCCCUCUGUCUCAUCACAAUGAGCAGUUCCUCCCCAGGCUCUGAGGAGGCUUCCCGGCUGAACCCUCUCCUCCCACAGUCCUAACACACAAAUGUCUAACAUCCCAGACCUUGAAUUUCUUGCCACUGAGAGGGCACAGCCACUUAUCCUUGCCCAGUUCCUGGGUGUUGGAGGUCACAAACUUUUCCACUUCCUGCUCAGGGUCUUUGCGACCCAUCUUCUGGGCCUCUUCCUCUGAAAGAGAUUCCCGCACACUCAGCAGCGGAGUCAGCUUCUCCUCAAAUGUCUUCUGCCAUUCUAGCACUGUGGUUUUGGAACAGACGGAGAGCAGGUUGGAGAAGGGAACCCGGAGGCGGGGAUUAGAGGAGAGGGUGGCAAAGCAUUGCUACCAGAGCAGAACUAAGGCCAGAGGCAGCUGGGAGAGAGGGAAACCAGGAGUGGGAAAGCUGGGAGGUCACCUUCUCCAUGACUGAUGCGGUUGGGCGGCAUGGGCCCCCGAACAUGGAUGAUGCCACAGCGGUUGGGCAUCUCAUCCUCAUUGGGGUACUCGCACGUGUUAUAAUAAUCCAGGGAAUGCACGAUGCGCAAAUAAAGGAGGAGUUUGUCCAAAACCUAAGAGAAAUGAGAAGCUGAGAGUUCCCCAUACACUUGCCCCUUUACCACCCCGAGCCAGGCUCUCCCACGCCCCACACACCCUGCACCCACUGGCACCUUGAUCAGCUUCUCAUCCCGCUCCACGUUGAUCUCUGCAGGGUUCCCUUCCUUAGGAGGCUCCUCAGGAGGGGCCCCCCCACUGCUCCCCAGCAGCUCCUCCUCCUCAGCGCUCACUUCCUCAAUCAGGUAGUCAGUGAUAUUCUUCAAGAUGGGGUUCUGCGAGGGCAGACUCUGGUAGGGUGAGAGAGGUAGAGCAGACAAAACUCCUCAGGGUAGCCUAGGAACCUUCUCAUUUGAAAAGGCAAUGUGGGGCAGAAAGGAGUUCAGGGCUCGGCUGGGCUGUUACAUUUGCCUCAUUAUUUGUCUUAAUUUGUGUACGUGUUCUGCCCUAGCCGAUAAGUAAUCACUAAUACCAAUCUGUUUUGUUGGAAGCUGGAGAUGCUGCUCAGGAGGAGAGGGGCAAAUACGGGGGUGGGUACAAGGGGGUCAGUGCUACAGACCAGGUAAGGCCAGAGGUGCCCACAGCAGAUGAGGGGGAACCCGCGGCUUUUUAACAAGUUCCACGAGGAGUCACUAACCGCUGGCAGAGGCGGCGUCCCAGGCUCAGAGGCCCAGAGCUGGGUCCUGUCAUCCAGCGUGUGGAUCAGCUUGGCCGCCAGCUUGAUGUCGUUGCGCACUAUCUGCUUGUGCUGGGUGAUGCCGUUGAUGUUGCGGACACGACGGGUCAGGUCUCUGUUCACACCAGGGCUCAGCUCACACUCCCGGAGCUGGAGGGAACAGAAGGCUCACCAACACUUGCCAAAGAAGAGCCACUCAAAGACUGGCCCGACCGAGCACGCUAGCGAUCAGACUGAGCUCCCUAAGGACAGGGACCGGGGUGUCUUGUUCACAGGGACAGUCUCAGAGCCAAACCGAGAGACAACUGCAUACAAUUCACGUGAGCAGACUAAAUGGAUGAAAUAAGGAGCAGAUGGAUGAAGCCAUCAAUGAACGAAGGGAUCAGAGACUGUGUGGAGCAGGGGGAGCCCCGCCUUCUCUCCCUCAACAGCCCCACUCCCAGGACUCACUCGGAUAUUCUGCAGGUUCCAACAGAUCUCUUUAAUGUUAACGCUGCGGUCAAAGGUCACCCAGCCACGACGGAAAAACCUAAACAAGAAAAUGUCAGCAUAAUCCUGGGAUGGACGUGAUGUUGGCCACCAAUCUUCCCCUGCACCUUUUCCCCAAGGUAUCCAGGGUCACACCUCCCUCCAUUCCUUACCUCCUCUCGGGCUGGGGCUCCGAUAAUGCCACGCGCAUAAAGCCGGGGUAUCUUUUACAAAGCUGGAAAAGCAGAAACAGAAGCCCCACUUGUGAUUCAAGGAUUCACUUCUUCCUCCAAUCCCCAUGUCCUCAGAACCCUGGGGAACUGCCUUUUCAUCCUUCCUUGGACUAGGAAGAAACAAUUAAGGGCUUAAGAAUAACAGCACUUGAAAGCAAACCAUGCAACCAGGGCCAGACUCUCUGAAGGGCGUGGGCCCAUGGGAAGGGGGCCUCCCCAUCAGAGAAACAGAGAUGUAGGUCAGAAGCAGUGCCAGGUUAUCUUCUCGCUGUCGCCCCCACCCGAAGGAAUGGAGCCUGGGCGUCACCCCUGCCCCCAG
Molecule: RNA transcript, 5004 nt
Organism: Lagenorhynchus albirostris (white-beaked dolphin)
Lineage: Eukaryota; Metazoa; Chordata; Mammalia; Artiodactyla; Delphinidae
Gene: ACHE
Gene name: acetylcholinesterase (Cartwright blood group)
Exons: 5
Source: RefSeq, a predicted model, not a curated record